This 210-nucleotide long non-coding RNA is filed under the name Struthio camelus australis. RNAcentral's name for it is "lncRNA (ENSSCUG00000016676.1)". The record is from RNAcentral. Lineage: Eukaryota; Metazoa; Chordata; Aves; Struthioniformes; Struthionidae.
CUUUAUACAAGCGCAUGUUUGGGACAGCGAAGUGACUUAGCUCUGAUGAAAUACGGAGGUCUAAAGUGGAAGGAGCUGCCAGAAAAUCCCAUUAUGCAGAUCAUCUGAAGGAUUCUUGCGGCCUUUGCUUUGAGAAAUUCAAACAUCUCCAUUGCUUGGAACAAGGCUCUGAUAUUGGGCAUGUCAUAUCUUUUCAGGUAAGAGAAAUGU